UUCAAUUCCCUACACACCAGCGAGAUCACACUGGGUAGAGGCUGAGAACCUGCUCUGACUGCGGCAAGGCGUUCAUUCAGUCAUCCAGCUGCAGAUAUAUCAGCAAACUCAGACUGUUCCCCUGAGCCGAAUGAGAAGGCAUUCUGUACCAUAUCCUAUGUGCAAACACACCGGUGUCCAGUCGGGGGUUGUUUUGACCCAGCCAGAGGCAGAGACUGGCCGUCCCGCAGGCAGCCUGAAACUGACCUGUAAAUCCAGCGGGUUCGAUCUUAGCAGCUACGCCAUGCACAGGGUCCGACAGGUUCCCGGACAGGGUCUGGAGUGGCUGCUGUACUACUAUAGUUCAUCCAGCAGUAACUAUGCACCAGCGAUUAAGGGUCGAUUUACUGCGUCCAAAGACACUUCAAACAAAAUUUUCGCGUUGGACAUGGAGAACCUGAAGAUCGAAGACACCGCCAUCUUUUACUGUGCAGGAGAGCCAAACCAAACUCAACACAGAAUCUGA
Molecule: non-coding RNA, 505 nt
Organism: Chiloscyllium plagiosum (whitespotted bambooshark)
Lineage: Eukaryota; Metazoa; Chordata; Chondrichthyes; Orectolobiformes; Hemiscylliidae
Source: the annotation of a RefSeq genome assembly